RNAcentral lists this ribosomal RNA (391 nucleotides) under uncultured bacterium. Its description in RNAcentral is "bacterial SSU rRNA". It matches the Rfam family "Bacterial small subunit ribosomal RNA", at positions 29 to 416 of the family's 1533-position model. The record is from RNAcentral.
AUUGAACGCUGGCGGCAUGCCUAACACAUGCAAGUCGAACGGCAGCACGGCAGUAGCAAUACUGUGGGUGGCGAGUGGCGGACGGGUGAGGAAUACGUCGGAAUCUGCCCAGUCGUGGGGGAUAACUAGCCGAAAGGUUAGCUAAUACCGCAUACGACCGAGAGGUGAAAGCGGGGGACCGCAAGGCCUCGCGCGAUUGGAUGAGCCGACGUCGGAUUAGCUAGUUGUGGGGUAAAGGCCCACCAAGGCGACGAUCCGUAGCUGGUCUGAGAGGAUGAUCAGCCACACUGGAACUGAGACACGGUCCAGACUCCUACGGGAGGCAGCAGUGGGGAAUAUUGGACAAUGGGCGCAAGCCUGAUCCAGCAAUGCCGCGUGUGUGAAGAAGGCC